CCUACGGGAGGCAGCAGUGGGGAAUAUUGGACAAUGGGCGCAAGCCUGAUCCAGCCAUGCCGCGUGUGUGAAGAAGGCCUUCGGGUUGUAAAGCACUUUUGUCCGGAAAGAAAAGCGCUCGAUUAAUACUCGGGUGUUAUGACGGUACCGGAAGAAUAAGCACCGGCUAACUUCGUGCCAGCAGCCGCGGUAAUACGAAGGGUGCAAGCGUUACUCGGAAUUACUGGGCGUAAAGCGUGCGUAGGUGGUUUGUUAAGUCUGAUGUGAGAGCCCUGGGCUCAACCUGGGAACUGCAUUGGAAACUGGCUUACUAGAGUGCGGUAGAGGGGUGUGGAAUUCCCGGUGUAGCAGUGAAAUGCGUAGAUAUCGGGAGGAACAUCUGUGGCGAAGGCGACACCCUGGACCAGCACUGACACUGAGGCACGAAAGCGUAGGGAGCAAACAGGAUUAGAUACCCCAGUAGUC
RNAcentral lists this ribosomal RNA (465 nucleotides) under uncultured Lysobacter sp. RNAcentral's name for it is "bacterial SSU rRNA". It matches the Rfam family "Bacterial small subunit ribosomal RNA", at positions 338 to 795 of the family's 1533-position model. Lineage: Bacteria; Pseudomonadati; Pseudomonadota; Gammaproteobacteria; Lysobacterales; Lysobacteraceae. The record is from RNAcentral.